RNAcentral lists this ribosomal RNA (619 nucleotides) under uncultured bacterium. RNAcentral describes it as "bacterial SSU rRNA". The stretch from base 1 to 526 matches the Rfam family "Bacterial small subunit ribosomal RNA", at positions 338 to 873 of the family's 1533-position model. The record is from RNAcentral.
CCUACGGGAGGCAGCAGUGGGGAAUAUUGCGCAAUGGACGAAAGUCUGACGCAGCAACGCCGCGUGAGGGAUGACGGCCUUCGGGUUGUAAACCUCUUUCAGCAGGGACGAAGCGAGAGUGACGGUACCUGCAGAAGAAGGACCGGCCAACUACGUGCCAGCAGCCGCGGUAAUACGUAGGGUCCGAGCGUUGUCCGGAAUUAUUGGGCGUAAAGGGCUCGUAGGCGGUUCGUCACGUCGGGAGUGAAAACUCGGAGCUUAACUCCGAGCCUGCUUCCGAUACGGGCAGACUAGAGGUAGGCAGGGGAGAGCGGAACUCCUGGUGUAGCGGUGGAAUGCGCAGAUAUCAGGAAGAACACCGGUGGCGAAGGCGGCUCUCUGGGGCCUUAACCUGACGCUGAGGAGCGAAAGCGUGGGUAGCGAACAGGAUUAGAUACCCUGGUAGUCCACGCCGUAAACGUUGGCGCUAGGUGUGGGGGACCAUUCCUACGUCCUCCGUCGCGCAGCUACGACAUAGUCGCCCGCCGUCGGGUAGGUACGGCCGGCGACGGACGUAAACCGUACGAACGGAAGUUAGACGGCGUGAGACGUGCCGACGGACGACGACGAGGGAGGUAGG